This 691-nucleotide ribosomal RNA is filed under the name uncultured bacterium. Its description in RNAcentral is "bacterial SSU rRNA". It matches the Rfam family "Bacterial small subunit ribosomal RNA", at positions 32 to 715 of the family's 1533-position model. The record is from RNAcentral.
AACGCUAGCUACAGGCUUAACACAUGCAAGUCGAGGGGCAGCAUUGGAGUAGCAAUACUUCAGAUGGCGACCGGCGCACGGGUGAGUAACACGUAUCCAACCUGCCGCUUACUCGGGGAUAGCCUUUCGAAAGAAAGAUUAAUACCCGAUGGUAUAAAGAGUUCGCAUGUUCUCUUUAUUAAAGAAUUUCGGUAAGCGAUGGGGAUGCGUUCCAUUAGAUCGUUGGCGGGGUAACGGCCCACCAAGUCUACGAUGGAUAGGGGUUCUGAGAGGAAGGUCCCCCACAUUGGAACUGAGACACGGUCCAAACUCCUACGGGAGGCAGCAGUGAGGAAUAUUGGUCAAUGGACGAGAGUCUGAACCAGCCAAGUAGCGUGAAGGAUGACUGCCCUAUGGGUUGUAAACUUCUUUUAUAAGGGAAUAAAGUGAGGGACGUGUCCCUUUUUGUAUGUACCUUAUGAAUAAGGAUCGGCUAACUCCGUGCCAGCAGCCGCGGUAAUACGGAGGAUCCAAGCGUUAUCCGGAUUUAUUGGGUUUAAAGGGAGCGUAGGUUGACAUAUAAGUCAGCUGUGAAAGUUUACGGCUCAACCGUGAAAUUGCAGUUGAUACUGUAUGUCUUGAGUGUACAAGAGGUGGGCGGAAUUCGUGGUGUAGCGGUGAAAUGCUUAGAUAUCACGAAGAACUCCGAUUG